UCUAGGAAGUCAGUGUGAAUUGGCCUUAGGAACGUUCCCUGCCUCCAGACCCUAUUCUCCUCCCUCAUUGGUGCCGACGGAGAGACACAAAAAACAGAAAGUUCUGGGAACCAGCCCACCUUGACCAUCUUUCUGCACAUCAGUUUCAUUCUCUUACUGCUGAUGGCUUCCUCGCCCUCUACUACAUGAAUUUGCUGCUUCGUCAUACCUUUGUCUUCCUUUGGCAUGGACUGAGGCUCCAGAACAAACAAUGAGGCAAUGUCUGCAGAGUGCUAUCAAGGCUGUGCAAAUAAAUAAAAUGGACAUUCAUAGAAACUAAUGUUCAUUUCCAUUAGAAGGCUUCAUGGAGAAGGUGGCAAUCUGAGCUCAACCUUGAAAAAUGAUCCCUAAGAAAACAUUUUAGGCAGA
RNAcentral lists this long non-coding RNA (408 nucleotides) under Homo sapiens (human). RNAcentral's name for it is "HSALNT0139835". Lineage: Eukaryota; Metazoa; Chordata; Mammalia; Primates; Hominidae. The record is from RNAcentral.